AGAUUGAACGCUGGCGGCAUGCCUAACACAUGCAAGUCGAGCGGUAGAGAGGUGCUUGCAUCUCUUGAGAGCGGCGGACGGGUGAGUAAUGCCUAGGAAUCUGCCUAGUGGUGGGGGGAUAACGUUCGGAAACGGACGCUAAUACCGCAUACGUCCUACGGGAGAAAGCGGGGGACCUUCGGGCCUCGCGCCAUUAGAUGAGCCUAGGUCGGAUUAGCUAGUUGGUGAGGUAAUGGCUCACCAAGGCGACGAUCCGUAACUGGUCUGAGAGGGUGAUCAGUCACACUGGAACUGAGACACGGUCCAGACUCCUACGGGAGCAGCAGGUGGGGAAUAUUGGACAAUGGGCGAAAGCCUGAUCCAGCCAUGCCGCGUGUGUGAAGAAGGUCUCGGAUUGAAAGCUAACUUUAAGGUGGGAGGAAGGUUGUAACCUAAUACGUUGACUAAUUUGACGUUACGACAGAAUAAGCACGCUAACUCGUGCCAGCAGCCGUACG
This 497-nucleotide ribosomal RNA is filed under the name uncultured soil bacterium. Its description in RNAcentral is "bacterial SSU rRNA". It matches the Rfam family "Bacterial small subunit ribosomal RNA", at positions 26 to 521 of the family's 1533-position model. The record is from RNAcentral.